ACAAGCGGUGGAGCAUGUGGUUUAAUUCGACGCAACGCGAAGAACCUUACCUGGGCUUGACAUCCCGAUCGCACCUUAUGGAAACAUAGGGGUCAGUUCGGCUGGAUCGGUGACAGGUGCUGCAUGGCUGUCGUCAGCUCGUGUCGUGAGAUGUUGGGUUAAGUCCCGCAACGAGCGCAACCCUUGUCCUUAGUUGCCAGCAUUCAGUUGGGCACUCUAAGGAGACUGCCGGUGUCAAACCGGAGGAAGGUGGGGAUGACGUCAAGUCCUCAUGGCCCUUAUGUCCAGGGCUACACACGUGCUACAAUGGCCGGUACAAAGGGGCGCAAGACCGCGAGGUGGAGCAAAUCCCAAAAAACCGGUCUCAGUUCGGAUUGGAGUCUGCAACUCGACUCCAUGAAGUUGGAAUCGCUAGUAAUCGCGUAUCAGCAUGACGCGGUGAAUACGUUCCCGGGCCUU
RNAcentral lists this ribosomal RNA (459 nucleotides) under uncultured Desulfuromonas sp. RNAcentral describes it as "bacterial SSU rRNA". It matches the Rfam family "Bacterial small subunit ribosomal RNA", at positions 925 to 1382 of the family's 1533-position model. Lineage: Bacteria; Pseudomonadati; Thermodesulfobacteriota; Desulfuromonadia; Desulfuromonadales; Desulfuromonadaceae. The record is from RNAcentral.